Molecule: ribosomal RNA, 1799 nt
Filed under: Gavialis gangeticus (Gharial)
Lineage: Eukaryota; Metazoa; Chordata; Crocodylia; Gavialidae
Description: SSU rRNA
Rfam family: Eukaryotic small subunit ribosomal RNA
Source: RNAcentral
CCUGGUUGAUCCUGCAAGUAGCAUAUGCUUGUCUCAAAGAUUAAGCCAUGCAUGUCUAAGUACACAUGGCCGGUACAGUGAAACUGCGAACGGCUCAUUAAAUCAGUUAUGGUUCCUUUGGUUGCUCCAACCAUUUCUUGGAUAACUGUGGUAAUUCUAGAGCUAAUACAUGCUGAUGAGCGCUGACCUCUGGGGAUGCAUGCAUUUAUCAGACCAAAAACAACCUGGGCUCGCCCAGCUGCUUUGAUGACUAGAUAACCUUGGGCUGAUCACACGUCCCCGUAGCGGUGAUGAUGCAGUCGAAUGUCUGCCCUAUCAACUUUUGAAGGUACUUUCUGUGCCUACCAUGAUGACCACAGGUAACAGGGAAUCAGGGUUCAAUUCCAGAGAGGGAGCCUGAGAAAUGGCUACCACAUCCAAAGAAGGUAGCAGGCGUGAAAAUUACCCAUUCCCAACCUGGGGAGGUAGUGAUGAAAAAUAACACUACAGGACUCUUUUGAGGCCCUGUAAUUGGAAUGAGUACACUUUAAAACCUUUAACGAGGAUCUAUUUGAGGGCAAGUCUGGUGUCGGCAGUCACGGUAAUUCCAGGUCCAAUAACAUAUAUUAAAGUUGCUGCAGUUAAAAAGCUCAUAGCUGGAUCUUGGGAUUGAGCUGGUGGUCUACCAUGAGGCAAGCUACCGCCUGUCCCAGCCCCUGCCUCUCGGCGCUCCCUUGAUGCUCGUGACUGAGUGUCCUGCAGGUCCAAAGUGUUUACUUUGAAAAAAUUAGUGUUCAAAGCAGGCUGAUCACUGGAAUACUCCAACUAGGAAUAAUGGAAUAGGACUCUGGUUCUAUUUUGUUGGUUUUCAGAAGUGGGGCCAUGAUUAAGAGGGACGGCCGGGGCCAUUCGUAUUGUGCCGCUAGAGGUGAAAUUCUUGUACUGGCGCAAGACAAACCAAAGUGAAAGCAUUUGCCAAGAAUGUUUUCAUCAAUCAAGAAUGAAAGUCAGAGAUUCAAAGACUAUCAGAUACUGUCGUAGUUCUGACCAUAAACAAUGCCAACUAGUGAUCCAGUGGCAUUAUUCCCAUGACCUGCUGGGCAGCUUCCAGGAAACCAAACUUUUUGGGUUCUGGGGGAAGUAUGGUUGCAAAGCUGAAAUUUAAAGGAACUGAUGGAAGGGCACCACCAGGAGUGGAGCCUGUGGGUUAAUUUGACUCAACACAGGAAACCUCACCUGGCCCGGACACAGAAAGAAUUGAAAGAUUGAUAGCUCUUUCUUGAUUCUGUGGGUGGUGGUGCAUGGCCGUUCUUAGUUGGUGGAGUGAUUUGUCUAGUUAAUUCUGAUAAAGAAUGAGACUCUGGUAUGCUAACUAGUUGUGCAACCCCUGAGCAGUCAGCAUCCAACUUCUUAGAGGGACAAGUGGAGUUCGGCCACCUGAGAUUGAGCAAUAACAGGUCUGUGAUGCCCUUAGGUGUCCAGGGCCGCCUGUGUGCUACACUGACUGGCUCAGCAUGUGUCUACCUUACACCAAUAGGUGCGGAUAACCCGUUGAACCCCAUUUGCAAUGAGGAUUGCAGUUAUUUCCCAUGAAUGAGGAACACCCAGGAAGUGCAGUUCAUAAGUUCAUGUUGAUUAAGCCCCUGCCCUUUGUACACACCUCCCAUCGCUACUACUGAUUAAACGGUUUAGUGAGGUCCUCAGAUCGGCCUUGCCGGGGUUGGUCAUGGCUUUGGUGGAGUGCUGAGAAGAUGGUCAAACUUGACUAUCUAGAGGAAGUAAAAGUCAUAACAAGGUUUCCGUACAUGAACCUGUGGAAG